Molecule: long non-coding RNA, 72 nt
Organism: Sarcophilus harrisii (Tasmanian devil)
Lineage: Eukaryota; Metazoa; Chordata; Mammalia; Dasyuromorphia; Dasyuridae
Exons: 3
Source: RefSeq, a predicted model, not a curated record
AAAUCUGCAUGAAGGAGUGAAGGAUGAGAGAAGUGAUGGACUGAAUGUGCAUGAAGUGGAGAAGCAAGACCU